UUGCAUUAGGGAUAAAAGCGAUAUCCUUUUAUUUUUUCCUUUAAAAAAUAAAAGAUAAAGCGGAUAGCACGUCGUCGU
RNAcentral lists this small RNA (78 nucleotides) under Flavobacterium araucananum. RNAcentral's name for it is "Flavo-1 RNA". It matches the Rfam family "Flavo-1 RNA". The record is from RNAcentral. Lineage: Bacteria; Pseudomonadati; Bacteroidota; Flavobacteriia; Flavobacteriales; Flavobacteriaceae.